UCCUCCCUCAAACCUCGGGUUUGGUGUUGGACCCAAGUUGUGUAAACAACUGGUCUCAAAGACAAUGACGGCGUCCGUGGGACCCUCGGUGCAACGAGCUUUUAGGAGCACGCGUCGAGUUUCAAGGACCUUCCGGGCCGGUCUCCUUACUAUUCUACAA
RNAcentral lists this unclassified non-coding RNA (160 nucleotides) under uncultured Capronia. RNAcentral describes it as "sequence contains ITS2". The record is from RNAcentral. Lineage: Eukaryota; Fungi; Ascomycota; Eurotiomycetes; Chaetothyriales; Herpotrichiellaceae.